GAAAUAAACCCAAGGGACAACAGGACAUGAGCUCAAUGCAUGGACUCUCAGCUGGUCAGCUGAUUUGUGCAGAACCAGGGAACCUGCAUUUUCUACCAGAUGUGUCAGAAGAGCUGUUAAGAUUUGAUAGUGACUGGAAUGACAAAUGCAACAAGAGAAAGAGGGCUUGUAGUGAGAGAAAACUGUUGAAAACUGUGGAGUUUCCAUUGGACAGCACAAGCUUUGAGGGCUCAGAACCACCACAGAACACCUGUCUGCCUGGCACGGUUCUCUUCUCCCACAAAACAAGCUUGCCAUCUUCUGGCCAGGCCACCAAGCAUCAUGGGGCUGGCUGGAAAUGCACUCUCAAGUGUCUAUACCACCCAGGCUGUUAACACAAACACCCAAGGAAGCAGUUUGAAGUGAAAUUUUGCUUUGGGAAGUUCCCCUAUCAAGAAGAAUUUAGCUUUCAAACUGUGCAAAAUCCAUCUUUCUUGAUUCAUAAAGAUUUUCAUGAGUUUUUGUUUCUGUCUUCAUACCU
This 520-nucleotide long non-coding RNA is filed under the name Parus major (Great Tit). RNAcentral describes it as "lncRNA (ENSPMJG00000011316.1)". Lineage: Eukaryota; Metazoa; Chordata; Aves; Passeriformes; Paridae. The record is from RNAcentral.